AGAGUUUGAUCCUGGCUCAGGAUGAACGCUAGCGGCAGGCUUAAUACAUGCAAGUCGUGGGGCAGCGCAGUGUAGCAAUACAUGGGCGGCGACCGGCAAACGGGUGCGGAACACGUACGCAACCUUCCUUUAACUGGAGAAUAGCCCGGGGAAACCCGGAUUAAUACUCCGUAACAUUAUGAAGUGGCAUCAUUUUAUAAUUAUAGCUCCGGCGGUUAGAGAUGGGCGUGCGUCUGAUUAGGUAGUUGGCGGGGUAACGGCCCACCAAGCCUACGAUCAGUAACUGGUGUGAGAGCACGACCAGUCACACGGGCACUGAGACACGGGCCCGACUCCUACGGGAGGCAGCAGUAAGGAAUAUUGGUCAAUGGACGCAAGUCUGAACCAGCCAUGCCGCGUGGAGGAUGAAGGUCCUCUGGAUUGUAAACUUCUUUUAUUUGGGAAGAAACCCCCGAUUUCUAUUGGGGUUGACGGUACCAGAUGAAUAAGCACCGGCUAACUCCGUGCCAGCAGCCGCGGUAAUACGGAGGGUGCAAGCGUUAUCCGGAUUCACUGGGUUUAAAGGGUGCGUAGCGGCUUGGUAAGUCCGUGGGAAAUC
Molecule: ribosomal RNA, 598 nt
Filed under: uncultured Bacteroidota bacterium
Lineage: Bacteria; Pseudomonadati; Bacteroidota
Description: bacterial SSU rRNA
Rfam family: Bacterial small subunit ribosomal RNA
Source: RNAcentral